This 495-nucleotide ribosomal RNA is filed under the name uncultured bacterium. Its description in RNAcentral is "partial 16S ribosomal RNA". It matches the Rfam family "Bacterial small subunit ribosomal RNA", at positions 28 to 507 of the family's 1533-position model. The record is from RNAcentral.
GACGAACGCUGGCGGCGUGCCUAAUACAUGCAAGUAGAACGCUGAAGGUGGAGCUUGCUUCUCUGGAUGAGUUGCGAACGGGUGAGUAACGCGUAGGUAACCUGCCUGGUAGCGGGGGAUAACUAUUGGAAACGAUAGCUAAUACCGCAUAAGAGUAGAUGUUGCAUGACAUUUGCUUAAAAGGUGCAAUUGCAUCACUACCAGAUGGACCUGCGUUGUAUUAGCUAGUUGGUGGGGUAACGGCUUACCAAGGCGACGAUACAUAGCCGACCUGAGAGGGUGAUCGGCCACACUGGGACUGAGACACGGCCCAGACUCCUACGGGAGGCAGCAGUAGGGAAUCUUCGGCAAUGGACGGAAGUCUGACCGAGCAACGCCGCGUGAGUGAAGAAGGUUUUCGGAUCGUAAAGCUCUGUUGUAAGAGAAGAACGAGUGUGAGAGUGGAAAGUUCACACUGUGACGGUAUCUUACCAGAAAGGGACGGCUAACUACGUG